GACGAACGCUGGCGGCGUGCUUAACACAUGCAAGUCGAACGGAAAGGCCCUGCUUUUGUGGGGUGCUCGAGUGGCGAACGGGUGAGUAACACGUGAGUAACCUGCCCUUGACUUUGGGAUAACUUCAGGAAACUGGGGCUAAUACCGGAUAGGAGCUCCUGCUGCAUGGUGGGGGUUGGAAAGUUUCGGCGGUUGGGGAUGGACUCGCGGCUUAUCAGCUUGUUGGUGGGGUAGUGGCUUACCAAGGCUUUGACGGGUAGCCGGCCUGAGAGGGGGACCGGCCACAUGGGGACUGAGAUACGGCCCAGACUCCUACGGGAGGCAGCGGUGGGGAGUAUUGCACAAUGGGCGGAAGCCUGAUGCAGCAACGCCGCGUGCGGGAUGACGGCCUUCGGGUUGUAAACCGCUUUCGCCUGUGACGAAGCGUGAGUGACGGUAAUGGGUAAAGAAGCACCGGCUAACUACGUG
RNAcentral lists this ribosomal RNA (468 nucleotides) under uncultured bacterium. RNAcentral describes it as "partial 16S ribosomal RNA". It matches the Rfam family "Bacterial small subunit ribosomal RNA", at positions 28 to 507 of the family's 1533-position model. The record is from RNAcentral.